UGGGGAAUAUUGGACAAUGGGGGAAACCCUGAUCCAGCAAUGCCGCGUGAGUGAAGAAGGCCUUCGGGUUGUAAAGCUCUUUUAUAGGGGAAGAUGAUGACGGUACCUUAUGAAUAAGCUCCGGCUAACUUCGUGCCAGCAGCCGCGGUAAUACGAAGGGAGCAAGCGUUGUUCGGAAUAACUGGGCGUAAAGGGCGCGUAGGCGGUCUUGUAAGUUCGAUGUGAAAGCCCUGGGCUCAACCUGGGAAUUGCAUUGAAAACUAUGAGGCUAGAGUGUUGCAGGGGAUGAUGGAAUUAUGCAUGGAGAGGUGGAAUUCAUAGAUAUGCAUAGGAACACCGGAGGCGAAGGCGAUCAUCUGGGCAACAACUGACGCUGAGGCGCGAAAGCGUGGGGAGCAAA
Molecule: ribosomal RNA, 400 nt
Filed under: uncultured bacterium
Lineage: Bacteria
Description: bacterial SSU rRNA
Rfam family: Bacterial small subunit ribosomal RNA
Source: RNAcentral